CUCCCAAUGUAGUUUAGAAUCAAAAAGAAUUUCCUGAAUUCAAGCUUACUGAGUGCCAGUAACUGCUCACUUAUUCCUCGUGUGCUGGCCCUGUCUCUGAAUGUAGAUGGCCUAGGAUCGUAAUGAUCUCUUUGAAAGCUAGUUGUCACUGGACUCAUUGGAGGUGAUGGUAUUCGUGGAGCUGAUGUAGGAGAAUCAGAUGCAUCACCUACUAUGUCUGCAGGCAUUGGAAGACCAUCAUUGGUAAACUAGAAUUCUUGAAAGGUCUGAGUACAUUACAUGUUGUGUUGUUCGGACUCUUCAAAAGUGUGUAUCGAAUACUCCAAAAGUAGUGCAUUUUGGAGAAUCCAACACGGGUUCAACAGUUUUUGAGAGUCCGAGCAACAUAGUUUACAUGUAGAGUUGUAAAUAUGCAAAAAAAGGAAGAAGAGAUCGCAACCAAUAAAAAAAUUGAACAAGUUCUUCAUUAAGCCUAAACUAAUUCAAGCUUACUGAGUGCCAGCAACUGUUCACUUAUUCCUCGUGUGCUGGCCCUGUCUCUGAAUGUAGAUGGCCUAGGAUCGUAAUGAUCUCUUUGAAAGCUAGUUGUCACUGGACUCAUUGGAGGUGAUGGUAUUCGUGGAGCUGAUGUAGGAGAAUCAGAUGCAUCACCUACUAUGUCUGUAGGCAUUGGAAGACCAUCAUUGGU
Molecule: long non-coding RNA, 688 nt
Filed under: Solanum tuberosum (potato)
Lineage: Eukaryota; Viridiplantae; Streptophyta; Magnoliopsida; Solanales; Solanaceae
Description: long non-coding RNA (STUB_LNC011158)
Source: RNAcentral